AUGCAAAAUAAAAAAUAAAAAAUAAAACAGGGCCGCUUGACUUGUGUUCCAAAGCAUUAGCGUCCCCCAAGAGACGGAGGCAAAGGCAGCAAGCACCGCCAAAGUGUCAUCGCAUGUGCCAUGCCAUCCAUGGGAUAUAAAAGAAAAGAAGAUAAGAAGCCCACAUCACUGCAGUCUAAAGGUCUAUCAAGUGUCAACAACCCAAAAAACCAGAACUUCGAAUUCCACGACUACAAAUAAAAUCUCCUCUUGCUGUUUCUACGGAGCUCAGGUGCAUCAAUCUCCAUCCACCCUCUCAGAUCCAACAGCUAUGAUCUCGUCAUGCCAUUGAUCACAUCCAUCAUCCAAUCAGAGGACCUCAAAAGAAGGACUAAAAUAAUGUUGUUUGUAGAGAGAAUAUUAUUGGACAGAGUUUGUUAGUUGACGUAAGCGUCCUCAUCUUCUUUGCCUUUUAAGAAUCAGACAGUUCCAACGUUUCUCGUGCUUUAUACCGACCCGUUCGCUCCCAGAAGUUCUUCAUCUUAAUUGGGUUAAUAUCUCUGGUUUUUGAUUAAGAGGGAAGAAGGGAAAAUAUGAUGGAGCUGUUUUUGUUGAGUUGCACAGGAGUAGUGGUGUUGCUCCACGGAGCUAAUUUCUUCUUCCAUAUUCUCUCCCAUCACUUCGCCUUUCGUUCCCUCAGUUUUCUGGGAUUUGCUGGAUGAUAAAGCAAACAAGAAAGCAGAGAUGACUUCUUAAUUUCGUCAAGCAAACUUCUAAUGGUAGCUCGCACCUGUAGUCACGUUCGUUCUGUGGAUUUCCCUUCUUUUCUUUCUCAGUAGCAAGAGAUAGCUUGUAUAUAUUGUAUAAGAGCCAUUUACAGUCCUUGAAAUAAAUGGAGAAUUGUAUUUGUAUCAAAUUCAGAUCUAAAUUUAUCUCCAACGCAGACAUUGUCAUAUGUAUGAACCUUUAAUCAAUUUCCUGUUUAGUUUUACUCU
This is a long non-coding RNA of Populus euphratica (Euphrates poplar), 974 nucleotides long. RefSeq lists it as uncharacterized. NCBI's taxonomy places the organism in Eukaryota, Viridiplantae, Streptophyta, Magnoliopsida, Malpighiales, Salicaceae. The record is from RefSeq and is a predicted model, not a curated record. The transcript is spliced from 2 exons.